GGGGGUAUAGCUCAGUUGGGAGAGCACCGUCCUUGCACGGCGGGUGUCAGCAGUUCGAACCUGCUUACCUCCA
Molecule: transfer RNA, 73 nt
Filed under: Bacillaria paxillifer
Lineage: Eukaryota; Bacillariophyta; Bacillariophyceae; Bacillariales; Bacillariaceae
Description: tRNA-Ala
Rfam family: tRNA
About the family: Transfer RNA (tRNA) molecules are approximately 80 nucleotides in length.
Source: RNAcentral